GGGGGAGGGGCGGGAAGAGACGUUGGGCCGAGCGCGGCAGUUGGGGGAGGAGCCUCCUAGUCCCGCCCCCGGAGCGCGCCCCCGCCGCGGGCCCGCGCGCUUCGGCCGCCAUUUUGGGCAGAGCUUUGUUGUGGUUGUGAGGCGGCCGGCAGCGGGGGCGACGCGAGGCCCGACCAGUUGAGUCCUGUGGCUUCUUCAGAGAUUGGUUGAUGAUGGAAAUGCACUGGAUACAAGAAGCAGACUCUACUUUGUUGCAGUAGGAGCAUUCUUAGCCUUUCUCCUGAUCGUGCCCCCAGUGUUGGGCAGGAGGAGUGACAAAGAUCUCUAAUUGAAGAGAAGAAAAUAUCAUUUGGGAAACUUUUUCUCCCCCAUAUUUCUGCAUUUUAAUUUUGUUUUCGCUUUAUAAAUGGUCAACAUUGAA
RNAcentral lists this long non-coding RNA (421 nucleotides) under Phascolarctos cinereus (koala). RNAcentral describes it as "lncRNA (ENSPCIG00000033968.1)". Lineage: Eukaryota; Metazoa; Chordata; Mammalia; Diprotodontia; Phascolarctidae. The record is from RNAcentral.